AACGAACGCUGGCGGCAUGCCUAACACAUGCAAGUCGAACGAGAUCUUCGGGUCUAGUGGCGCACGGGUGCGUAACGCGUGGGAAUCUGCCCUUUGGUUCGGAAUAACAGUUGGAGACGACUGCUAAUACCGGAUGAUGACGAAAGUCCAAAGAUUUAUCGCCAGAGGAUGAGCCCGCGUAGGAUUAGCUAGUUGGUGUGGUAAAGGCGCACCAAGGCGACGAUCCUUAGCUGGUCAGAGAGGAUGAUCAGCCACACUGGGACUGAGACACGGCCCAGACUCCUACAGGAGGCAGCAGUGGGGAAUAUUGGACAAUGGGCGAAAGCUUGAUCAAGCAAUGCCGCGUGAGUGAUGAAGGCCUUAGGGUUGUAAAGCUCUUUUACCCGGGAUGAUAAUGACAGUAACGGGAGAAUAAGCUCCGGUUAACUCCGUGCCAGCAGCCGCGGUAA
Molecule: ribosomal RNA, 449 nt
Filed under: uncultured bacterium
Lineage: Bacteria
Description: partial 16S ribosomal RNA
Rfam family: Bacterial small subunit ribosomal RNA
Source: RNAcentral